Molecule: ribosomal RNA, 478 nt
Filed under: uncultured bacterium
Lineage: Bacteria
Description: partial 16S ribosomal RNA
Rfam family: Bacterial small subunit ribosomal RNA
Source: RNAcentral
GACGAACGCUGGCGGCGUGCUUAACACAUGCAAGUCGAACGGUAAGGCCCUUUGGGGCACACGAGUGGCGAACGGGUGAGUAACACGUGGGUGAUCUGCCCUGCACUUCGGGAUAAGCCUGGGAAACUGGGUCUAAUACCGGAUAGGACCACUGCCUGCAUGGGUGGUGGUGGAAAGCUUUUGCGGUGUGGGAUGGGCCCGCGGCCUAUCAGCUUGUUGGUGGGGGGAUGGCCUACCAAGGCGACGACGGGUAGCCGGCCUGAGAGGGUGACCGGCCACACUGGGACUGCGAUACGGCCCAGACUCCUACGGGCGGCAGCAGUGGGGAAUACUGCACAAUGGGCGCAAGCCUGAUGCAGCGACGCCGCGUGAGGGAUGACGGCCUUCGGGUUGUAAACCUCUUUCAGCACCGACGAAGCGCAAGUGACGGUAGGUGCAGAAGAAGGACCGGCCAACUACGUGCCAGCCGCCGCAGUAA